Molecule: long non-coding RNA, 243 nt
Filed under: Elaeis guineensis (African oil palm)
Lineage: Eukaryota; Viridiplantae; Streptophyta; Magnoliopsida; Arecales; Arecaceae
Description: long non-coding RNA (EGUI_LNC037150)
Source: RNAcentral
AAUUUGGAUUUUCUUACUCUUAACGUAGAAUAAUUAUUUGGCUAGAAAUUAUCGAGAGACUAAAGGAGUUAUUUGAAUCACAGUAGACAGUAGAAGUAUGACAGUAAGGUUUGAAAUUGGUUAGAAAUAAUAAUAUUGAGGGAUAUGAUAUCUAAGCCCACGACCAUGGUUGAGCUAGGAUGUGUACGUGCUAAUUAUUUGACAAUUCAAUAUGUAAAUUUUGCGAAUAAAAUUUUAUUAAGU